RNAcentral lists this ribosomal RNA (194 nucleotides) under Nematostella vectensis (starlet sea anemone). RNAcentral describes it as "Eukaryotic large subunit ribosomal RNA". It matches the Rfam family "Eukaryotic large subunit ribosomal RNA", at positions 1171 to 1327 of the family's 3401-position model. The record is from Rfam by way of RNAcentral. Lineage: Eukaryota; Metazoa; Cnidaria; Anthozoa; Actiniaria; Edwardsiidae.
AACGCGCGGUUAAGGUGCCAAAGUCGACGCUCAUCAGACCCCACAAAAGGUGUUGGUUGCUCUAGACAGCAGGACGGUGGCCAUGGAAGUUGGAAUCCGCUAAGGAGUGCUUGACUGUCGCUGCACUGAUGACAUCUCGUUCAAUUUGAUUGACAGCCUCUAGCUUGUAUCCAGCCUCAAACCCAUGGUUGGGG